ACCCCGCCGGCGCGCAGGCGCCGGGCGCGGCGCCUGGCGGGCACCGUCAGGCGACGAGCGAGCUGGCGGCCGCGACGCCAGCGAGGUA
RNAcentral lists this transfer RNA (88 nucleotides) under Candidatus Accumulibacter sp. SK-11. Its description in RNAcentral is "tRNA-Ala". Lineage: Bacteria; Pseudomonadati; Pseudomonadota; Betaproteobacteria. The record is from RNAcentral.